GGGCCCGCACAAGCGGUGGAGCAUGUGGUUUAAUUCGAUGAUACGCGAGGAACCUUACCAGGGCUUAAAUGUAGUCUGACAGCUUUAGAGAUAGAGUUUUCUUCGGACUCUCUACAAGGUGCUGCAUGGUUGUCGUCAGCUCGUGCCGUGAGGUGUCGGGUUAAGUCCCAUAACGAGCGCAACCCCUAUCUUUAGUUGCCAGCGUGUAAUGACGGGGACUCUAACGGAACUGCCGGUGCAAACCGUGAGGAAGGUGGGGACGACGUCAAAUCAUCACGGCCCUUACGUCCUGGGCUACACACGUGCUACAAUGGUCGGUACAAUGGGUCGCCACCCAGCGAUGGAGCGAAUCUUCAAAACCUAUCUCAGUUCGGAUCGGAGUCUGCAACUCGACUCCGUG
This 400-nucleotide ribosomal RNA is filed under the name uncultured bacterium. RNAcentral describes it as "bacterial SSU rRNA". It matches the Rfam family "Bacterial small subunit ribosomal RNA", at positions 917 to 1322 of the family's 1533-position model. The record is from RNAcentral.